GGUGGGUAGAGAUGUGGCUCAGUGGUAAAGCACUUGCUUAGCAUGCAUGAGGCCCUGAGUUCAAUCCCCAGACCCACCA
This is a non-coding RNA of Ictidomys tridecemlineatus (thirteen-lined ground squirrel), 79 nucleotides long. The record is from the annotation of a RefSeq genome assembly. Lineage: Eukaryota; Metazoa; Chordata; Mammalia; Rodentia; Sciuridae.